GGGGCUGACUGGUUUUGACAGCGGGUAGAAGAGAUAUGUAAGCAUGCCGGGCUUUGAUUGUUGGCCCGUAAAUCCUAAUAAUCACAUUUAUAAUUGGCGAAGAAAAUUACGCUCUUGCUGCGUAAGCGAAUUAAGUAGCUUACACUUUAUUCGGGCACCAGGUGCCAGAACGAGACAUCGCCCGGGUGCUAUUGCUUUGAAGCGGCCCGAUCAGGUGGUGCAAAUAAAUCGAGGCUAGUUGGAAUGUUGCUCUGCCAUUUCAGCGAAAUUAAAGAGAUAAGGUAAAUAUUGGUGGCCCUGAUCCGGUAUUUAUUCGAAAAUUAAAUCAGGGAUAAGCAUGUAGAAGGCAUAUUGCUUCCUCGUUUGGACGCGGGUUCGAUUCCCGCCAGCUCCACUA
This 397-nucleotide transfer-messenger RNA is filed under the name Prolixibacteraceae. RNAcentral's name for it is "JABMQB01 sp013203525 Standard tmRNA". It matches the Rfam family "transfer-messenger RNA". From Rfam's summary of the family: Bacterial tmRNA, also known as 10Sa RNA or SsrA, is named for its dual tRNA and mRNA-like properties. Its role is to liberate the mRNA from a stalled ribosome. To accomplish this part of the tmRNA is used as a reading frame that ends in a translation stop signal. Lineage: Bacteria; Pseudomonadati; Bacteroidota; Bacteroidia; Marinilabiliales. RNAcentral also lists the same sequence under 1 other name. The record is from RNAcentral.